RNAcentral lists this ribosomal RNA (1469 nucleotides) under Spirulina subsalsa. Its description in RNAcentral is "bacterial SSU rRNA". It matches the Rfam family "Bacterial small subunit ribosomal RNA". The record is from RNAcentral. Lineage: Bacteria; Bacillati; Cyanobacteriota; Cyanophyceae; Spirulinales; Spirulinaceae. RNAcentral also lists the same sequence under 2 other names.
AGAGUUUGAUCCUGGCUCAGGAUGAACGCUGGCGGUAUGCUUAACACAUGCAAGUCGAACGGACUCUUCGGAGUUAGUGGCGGACGGGUGAGUAACGCGUGAGAAUCUGCCUCUAGGUCGGGGACAACAGUUGGAAACGACUGCUAAUCCCGGAUGAGCCUGCGGGUAAAAGAUUAAUUGCCUAGAGAGGAGCUCGCGUCUGAUUAGCUAGUUGGUGAGGUAAAAGCUCACCAAGGCGACGAUCAGUAGCUGUUCUGAGAGGAAGAACAGCCACACUGGGACUGAGACACGGCCCAGACUCCUACGGGAGGCAGCAGUGGGGAAUUUUCCGCAAUGGGCGAAAGCCUGACGGAGCAAUACCGCGUGAGGGAAGAAGGCCUUUGGGUCGUAAACCUCUUUUCUCAGGGAAGAAGUUCUGACGGUACCUGAGGAAAAAGCCUCGGCUAACUCCGUGCCAGCAGCCGCGGUAAUACGGAGGAGGCAAGCGUUAUCCGGAAUUAUUGGGCGUAAAGCGUCCGUAGGUGGCCUUUCAAGUCUGCGGUUAAAAACUAGAGCUCAACUCUGGGUCAGCCGUGGAAACUGAGAAGCUAGAGUACAGUAGGGGUAGAGGGAAUUCCCAGUGUAGCGGUGAAAUGCGUAGAGAUUGGGAAGAACACCGGUGGCGAAAGCGCUCUACUGGGCUUGUACUGACACUGAGGGACGAAAGCUAGGGGAGCAAAAGGGAUUAGAUACCCCUGUAGUCCUAGCCGUAAACGAUGGAAACUAGGCGUAGCCUGUAUCAACUCAGGCUGUGCCGAAGCUAACGCGUUAAGUUUCCCGCCUGGGGAGUACGCACGCAAGUGUGAAACUCAAAGGAAUUGACGGGGGCCCGCACAAGCGGUGGAGUAUGUGGUUUAAUUCGAUGCAACGCGAAGAACCUUACCAGGGCUUGACAUCCCGCGAAUCCUGCUGAAAGGUAGGAGUGCCUAAGGGAACGCGGAGACAGGUGGUGCAUGGCUGUCGUCAGCUCGUGUCGUGAGAUGUUGGGUUAAGUCCCGCAACGAGCGCAACCCUCGUCCUUAGUUGCCAUCAUUAAGUUGGGAACUCUAGGGAGACUGCCGGGGACAACUCGGAGGAAGGUGGGGAUGACGUCAAGUCAGCAUGCCCCUUACGUCCUGGGCUACACACGUACUACAAUGGUUGAGACAAAGGGCAGCGAACUCGCGAGAGCCAGCGAAUCCCAGCAAACUCAGCCCCAGUUCAGAUUGCAGGCUGCAACUCGCCUGCAUGAAGUAGGAAUCGCUAGUAAUCGCCGGUCAGCAUACGGCGGUGAAUCCGUUCCCGGGCCUUGUACACACCGCCCGUCACACCAUGGAAGCUGGCAACAUCCGAAGUCGUUACUCCAACCGUUAGCGGAGGAGGGCGCCGAAGGUGGGGCUAGUGACUGGGGUGAAGUCGUAACAAGGUAGCCGUACCGGAAGGUGUGGCUG